This 301-nucleotide ribosomal RNA is filed under the name uncultured bacterium. RNAcentral describes it as "partial 16S ribosomal RNA". It matches the Rfam family "Bacterial small subunit ribosomal RNA", at positions 509 to 807 of the family's 1533-position model. The record is from RNAcentral.
CAGCAGCCACGGGAAUACGGAGGGAGCUAGCGUUGUUCGGAAUCACUGGGCGUAAAGCGCACGUAGGCGGCUAUUCAAGUCAGGGGUGAAAGCCCGGGGCUCAACCCCGGAACUGCCUUUGAAACUAGAUAGCUUGAAUCUUGGAGAGGCGAGUGGAAUUCCGAGUGUAGAGGUGAAAUUCGUAGAUAUUCGGAAGAACACCAGUGGCGAAGGCGACUCGCCGGACAAGUAUUGACGCUGAGGUGCGAAAGCGUGGGGAGCAAACAGGAUUAGAUACCCCUGUAGUCCCUGUCUCUUAUAC